Molecule: long non-coding RNA, 1145 nt
Organism: Papaver somniferum (opium poppy)
Lineage: Eukaryota; Viridiplantae; Streptophyta; Magnoliopsida; Ranunculales; Papaveraceae
Exons: 2
Source: RefSeq, a predicted model, not a curated record
AGGAUACCUUAGAACAUUAAGUACCACAAAAUAAGAGUCAAUAUUGAAGGCACGGAAGAAAGAAAGUUUAAGAGCAACCACAGAUUUGUAUUGACAAUCAAUAACUUAAAAGAACAACAAACACUCAUUUAUAUAUAUAUAGGGCAUAAACUUAUUGACAGAAACUUACUUCUUUUCUCCUAGGUGCAAUCCCCAUCUUUAUCUCAUCUCCUGCUUGAGAUUUUUCUUCUCGAAAUAACAUCAGAUUGUGAAACUUAGACUGAGAUCUAUCCAAUAAUUAGAGAAAGUAAUGAAAAUGAAAAGGAUAUAACAAUGUUCUUACUCAUAUGAACCAAAUCGCAGGGAUGAGAUCCUCGAUCCAUGAGAGUAGAAGUCAUAAUGAUCUACAGAAUUUCCAGGGUAGAGUAUGCGAUUGUCCCAAUCCAUUCUGAGAAGAGGCGGAGAGAGAGGAGGAACCGGAUUAAUUUGAGAAGAGGCGGAGAAAGAGAGGAUUAGUUUUAGAUGAAAGGCUCUCUCUCUCUAUUCUAGGUUAACUGAUAAACAAAUUUUGAUGCCCUCAUUUGGUGAUGUUAUAGUUCUUGAACCUGUUUCGUUAGCAUCUCUUCCUCCUGAACACGUGAUCACUGACGAGGAAUUUGAAAAGGAAAUUGAUCUCAUGAUGAUGGAUUCUGGAUCUAUGGAUGUCGAACCCUCCUCGGCUCAUGACCUAGAAAAAUAAGGUGUUCUCGCUCGGAUUUUGGGCUGGUUCUAGAUGCAGUUAGUGCGGAGGCUACUGCUUUAUUUUUGGCCAUCUCUUGGGUGAAGGAGCUAAACCUGUCCAAAGUCCUCUUUGUAUGCGACUGUCUUCAAGUGGUGGGUUUUGUUAAUGGAGUCAGUUCGUCGGUCGGAAGGAUGUGUAGCGAUCUUCUUGAAGAUUGUCGGAACUUUACUGCUAGUCGUAAUGCUUAUAAAGUUGUGUACAUUAUAAGAUACCUGACCGGCUUGCACGUCGGGAUAGGAAGUUCAGUAUUAAAGACUCUUAGGUUCCUUUUCCUGCUUUCUUAGACUCUUCGAUUAGUAAUGAACUCACUAUGGAUGUCUGUAAUUUCCUUUUUAGUUAAAUGAAAUGGUUGUUUUUCAGAAAAAAAAAAAUAACCAUUACGUCA